AUCAAAAGUGAUAAAAAAAAAAACUCGCAAGUGGAUCUAGAAUAUAGCCACCUAUUCUAAAUGUAGACUCCGAUGCAACUAUGGAGACAGGAAUAGCUAAGACAUCCUUGGCUAAUUGGGAGAGAAUUGGACACUUGAUAACCAUAGUCUUCCAACAUCCUAAAACAUCAAACUUGUCUUCAACCUCUUCACAACUUUCUGAUUAAUACUUUGCUACCUCCAACUUGCUUUUUAAUCUUUGUAUCCCCUUCCUAUGCUUUGCAUAUUUAGAUUGAAAAGUUAAAAUGUAUGCCUCUUCCAUCUCAUCAGUAGCUUGACUCAAAUUACAUGCUUCUCUAACAUUAUUUGAAUGACAUGAUAAAUAAUGAUCUUACAAUCUAAUUAAAAUUGCUUCCACUUUAUCCCCUGUCUCUUUAGCCUUUAGGCUUCUAUAAACUCCAUCAAAACAAUAUCUCACAUAUGCCAA
RNAcentral lists this unclassified non-coding RNA (466 nucleotides) under Hevea brasiliensis (rubber tree). Lineage: Eukaryota; Viridiplantae; Streptophyta; Magnoliopsida; Malpighiales; Euphorbiaceae. The record is from RNAcentral.